RNAcentral lists this ribosomal RNA (207 nucleotides) under uncultured bacterium. RNAcentral describes it as "partial 16S ribosomal RNA". It matches the Rfam family "Bacterial small subunit ribosomal RNA", at positions 568 to 774 of the family's 1533-position model. The record is from RNAcentral.
CGUCUAGGCGGGGAAUUAAGUUAGGUGUGAAAUCCAUGGGCUCAACUCGUGAAUGGCAUCUAAAACUGGUUCUCUUGAGUUCGGGAGAGGAGAGCAGAAUUCCUAGUGUAGCGGUGAAAUGCGUAGAUAUCAGGAGGAAUACCAGUGGCGAAGGCGGCUCUCUGGCCUAGGACUGACGCUGAAGCGCGAAAGCGUGGGGAGCGAACG